This 1094-nucleotide long non-coding RNA is filed under the name Homo sapiens (human). RNAcentral describes it as "HSALNT0402044". The record is from RNAcentral. Lineage: Eukaryota; Metazoa; Chordata; Mammalia; Primates; Hominidae.
CACAGUGACUGCCCUGGCUUUCUUUGCUUUGCCUCCUGUCUGUGUUUGAAAUCCCGAAAUCACCGCCUUGAGCUCUGAAGCCCAGCGGCUCCGAGGCUGCAAGCCUCUCCGCUGGCCCCAGAUGUGCAGCAUGCAGCUUGAAUCUCUGAGGACUCUGGUGGUGGAUGCCAACUCCAACUCACAGUGGGAAUCUGGCCCACAGGACCCAGCCUGCCACCCUCCAGGGAGCCGUGGAGAUUUCAGGAUUUCUCCUCUGCGAAAUGGGGAUAACAGCUCCCUCUUCAUCCGGUUAUGGUCAGGGCUGACCUAAGGGGGCUGAGGGUGAAGGCCACAGGCUGAGAAGCUCUUGCCAGUGGUCAGUGAGGAGCAGCAAAUUCGGGUCUUGGCACUUGAACUGUGGGAGGAUCAAUGCUGCUUGAAGCCAUCGGUUUCUGGGAAUUUGUCACAGCAGCCCAGGAAACACAUGCAGAAGGUUUGGAGAUUGGUCUUUCCGAUGACUAGGGUGCUUUGUGCCCAUUUCAACACUCUCUGCCCUCAGUGGCACAUUCAGACCACGUUGACUUGGGCAAUGGUGAGGGAAAUGCAAAGGUGAGCCAAAAAUACCUGGUCUCUGUCUUUGGGGGGACUUAAAACAACAGCAGCUCAUUCUGUCGCAGUCCAAGAGGCCAGAAGUCCAGAAUCACGAUGCCAGUGGGGCUGGCCCCUCUAGGGGCUCCAGGGAGAAUCUCCAGCAUUUCUCUCCUGGCCUGGUGGCUGCUGGCUCCUCUGGCGAUGUGUGGCAUGUGGACGCGUCACAGAGAUCGGCAGGCAGAUCUCUGCCUCUGUCUGUGCAUGGUCUUCCUCUCCCUGUGUGACUCUCUGUGUCUUCACUUGGGCUUCUCACAGGGACACCAGUCACUGGAUUUAGGGUGCACUCAAAUCCAGUAUGACCCAUCCGAACUCAUGACAUUUGAAAAGACCCUUUUUCCAAAUAUGGUCACAUCUGAGGUCCCAGGUGGAUAUGAAAUUUGGGUGACACUGUGCAACCCAGUACCAUCCCUUUUUUUUGAGACGGAGUCUUGCUCUGUCACCCAGGCUGGAGUGCAGUGGCGCGA